AGCGACAGGCUUAACACAUGCAAGUCGAGGGGCUGCACAGGUAGCAAUACCGGGUGGCGACCGGCGCACGGGUGAGUAACGCGUAUGCAACUUGCCUAUCAGAGGGGGAUAACCCGGCGAAAGUCGGACUAAUACCGCAUGAAGCAGGGAUCCCGCAUGGGAAUAUUUGCUAAAGAUUCAUCGCUGAUAGAUAGGCAUGCGUUCCAUUAGGCAGUUGGCGGGGUAACGGCCCACCAAACCGACGAUGGAUAGGGGUUCUGAGAGGAAGGUCCCCCACAUUGGUACUGAGACACGGACCAAACUCCUACGGGAGGCAGCAGUGAGGAAUAUUGGUCAAUGGCCGAGAGGCUGAACCAGCCAAGUCGCGUGAGGGAUGAAGGUUCUAUGGAUCGUAAACCUCUUUUAUAAGGGAAUAAAGUGCGGGACGUGUCCCGUUUUGUAUGUACCUUAUGAAUAAGGAUCGGCUAACUCCGUGCCAGCAGCCGCGGUAAUACGGAGGAUCCGAGCGUUAUCCGGAUUUAUUGGGUUUAAAGGGUGCGUAGGCGGCCUUUUAAGUCAGCGGUGAAAGUCUGUGGCUCAACCAUAGAAUUGCCGUUGAAACUGGGGGGCUUGAGUAUGUUUGAGGCAGGCGGAAUGCGUGGUGUAGCGGUGAAAUGCUUAGAUAUCACGCAGAACCCCGAUUGCGAAGGCAGCCUGCCAAGCCAUUACUGACGCUGAUGCACGAAAGCGUGGGGAUCAAACAGGAUUAGAUACCCUGGUAGUCCACGCAGUAAACGAUGAUCACUAGCUGUUUGCGAUACAUUGUAAGCGGCACAGCGAAAGCGUUAAGUGAUCCACCUGGGGAGUACGCCGGCAACGGUGAAACUCAAAGGAAUUGACGGGGGCCCGCACAAGCGGAGGAACAUGUGGUUUAAUUCGAUGAUACGCGAGGAACCUUACCCGGGUUUGAACGCAUUCGGACCGAGGUGGAAACACCUUUUCUAGCAAUAGCCGUUUGCGAGGUGCUGCAUGGUUGUCGUCAGCUCGUGCCGUGAGGUGUCGGCUUAAGUGCCAUAACGAGCGCAACCCUUGCCACUAGUUACUAACAGGUAAAGCUGAGGACUCUGGUGGGACUGCCAGCGUAAGCUGCGAGGAAGGCGGGGAUGACGUCAAAUCAGCACGGCCCUUACAUCCGGGGCGACACACGUGUUACAAUGGCGUGGACAAAGGGAGGCCACCUGGCGACAGGGAGCGAAUCCCCAAACCACGUCUCAGUUCGGAUCGGAGUCUGCAACCCGACUCCGUGAAGCUGGAUUCGCUAGUAAUCGCGCAUCAGCCAUGGCGCGGUGAAUACGUUCCCGGGCCUUGUACACACCGCCCGUCAAGCCAUGGGAGCCGGGGGUACCUGAAGUCCGUAACCGCGAGGAUCGGCCUAGGGUAAAACUGGUA
RNAcentral lists this ribosomal RNA (1428 nucleotides) under uncultured organism. RNAcentral's name for it is "SSU rRNA". It matches the Rfam family "Bacterial small subunit ribosomal RNA". The record is from RNAcentral.